RNAcentral lists this ribosomal RNA (433 nucleotides) under uncultured beta proteobacterium. RNAcentral's name for it is "bacterial SSU rRNA". It matches the Rfam family "Bacterial small subunit ribosomal RNA", at positions 959 to 1392 of the family's 1533-position model. Lineage: Bacteria; Pseudomonadati; Pseudomonadota; Betaproteobacteria. The record is from RNAcentral.
ACGCGAAGAACCUUACCCACCUUUGACAUGUACGGAAGAUCGCAGAGACGCGAUUGUGCUCGAAAGAGAACCGUAACACAGGUGCUGCAUGGCUGUCGUCAGCUCGUGUCGUGAGAUGUUGGGUUAAGUCCCGCAACGAGCGCAACCCUUGCCAUUAGUUGCUACAUUCAGUUGGGCACUCUAAUGGGACUGCCGGUGACAAACCGGAGGAAGGUGGGGAUGACGUCAAGUCCUCAUGGCCCUUAUAGGUGGGGCUACACACGUCAUACAAUGGCUGGUACAAAGGGUUGCCAACCCGCGAGGGGGAGCUAAUCCCAUAAAGCCAGUCGUAGUCCGGAUCGUAGUCUGCAACUCGACUACGUGAAGUCGGAAUCGCUAGUAAUCGUGGAUCAGAAUGUCACGGUGAAUACGUUCCCGGGCCUUGUACACACCG